AUCGUGCCAGAGAAGACUCAAAAGAGUGUCAAGAUUGCUCCUGGAGCAGCUGUAUGUGUAGAAAGUGAAAUCGGAGGAGAUAUAACUAUGGGACCCAGGACACUGAUCCACCCUAAAGCACGAAUUAUUGUGGAAGCCAGGACAAUAGCGAUUGGUGAAAGUAACCUAAUAGAAGACAGGCCUUUAUCAUAAAUGCUCACCCAGAUAAUAUCACUCCUGACACCAAAGAUCCAGAACCCAAACCUAUGAUGAUUGGCACCAAUAAUGUGUUUGAAGUUGACUGUUAUUCCCAAACCAUGAAAAUGGGAGAUAAUAAUAUCACUGAAUCAAAAGCAUAAUGUAGGCAGAAAUGUAAUAUUGACUAGUGGUUGCAUCACUGGGGCUUGUCGCAACUUAAAUACUUUUGAAAUCACCCCAGAGAAUAUGGUGAUCUAUGGUGCAGACUGCCUUCGUCGGGUGCAGACUGAAGGAUCACAGCCCCAGACACUACAGCUGGAUUUCUUGAUGAAAAUCUUGCCAAAUUACCACCAUCUAAAGAAGACUAUAAAAGGAAGCUCAACUCCAUUUAAGAACUGAGAACAACGUAUGAUGUCAAGAUAACACUUCGUCUCUGACCACCAUCUUUUGAAAGGGCCAUGGUGUUGGUGUACUCUUAGCAGCUCACAGAACAAUACAUGUUGACUUAUUUUAUGAAGCUGAGUUAGAGAGGAAAGUAAUGGAUUUUCAUUUUAACUAUCCUCUAUAAUUUAUGUAAAAUGUAUUAUUUUCCUAUAUCCUUCCUUCUUUUAAGAUAAUUUACAGAUUUAGUUUUUCUUUUGUUAUAUAUACUAUUAGCCACAAACUUCAGUUAUGUAAAAUAUUACCCGUGAUAAGGGCAUAUUGUUAUGUGUUUAUAUUCUAGUGUAUUCUAAACUAAAUAAAAAUGCUGAU
RNA transcript from Propithecus coquereli (Coquerel's sifaka), 930 nucleotides. It is a transcript of the gene named dynactin subunit 6 pseudogene, with no coding region annotated. The transcript has a single exon. The record is from RefSeq and is a predicted model, not a curated record. NCBI's taxonomy places the organism in Eukaryota, Metazoa, Chordata, Mammalia, Primates, Indriidae.